CGCCGGCCAGCCGUUCCCCCUUGCCGCUCUAGCCGAGUUAGUCUAGAUUUCGGAGCCCCCGCCUGAAUGUCGAGAUUGAGGUCGACUCGGAGUCGUCAGGUGAGCAGACAGCUGCGGAGGAUUGAGGUGGUGAUGCCGAGGACAGUGAGUCAGAGUGGACGCCUUCGAGAGGGCGUAGGGGAUAGUUUUGGGAGGAGGAUGCGCCCCAUUUUUGGAUAGUGCUGACCUAGAGAGCUGAUCUUGAUAUUUUGGUGGUUUGGAGUUUAUAGUUCGGUGUGCUUAUAAAUUAUUUUGUGGUUUGUAUUGGCGGAUGAUGUAAAUAUUUGGAAGUGUAAUAUAUGCUUGGUGGUUUGACGAUUUGUUC
This is a long non-coding RNA of Syzygium oleosum, 364 nucleotides long. RefSeq lists it as uncharacterized. NCBI's taxonomy places the organism in Eukaryota, Viridiplantae, Streptophyta, Magnoliopsida, Myrtales, Myrtaceae. The record is from RefSeq and is a predicted model, not a curated record. The transcript has 2 exons.